RNAcentral lists this ribosomal RNA (425 nucleotides) under uncultured bacterium. RNAcentral's name for it is "bacterial SSU rRNA". It matches the Rfam family "Bacterial small subunit ribosomal RNA", at positions 356 to 773 of the family's 1533-position model. The record is from RNAcentral.
GGGGAAUAUUGGACAAUGGGCGAAAGCCUGAUCCAGCCAUGCCGCGUGUGUGAAGAAGGUCUUCGGAUUGUAAAGCACUUUAAGUUGGGAGGAAGGGCAUUAACCUAAUACGUUGGUGUUUUGACGUUACCGACAGAAUAAGCACCGGCUAACUCUGUGCCAGCAGCCGCGGUAAUACAGAGGGUGCAAGCGUUAAUCGGAAUUACUGGGCGUAAAGCGCGCGUAGGUGGUUUGUUAAGUUGAAUGUGAAAUCCCCGGGCUCAACCUGGGAACUGCAUCCAAAACUGGCAAGCUAGAGUAGGGCAGAGGGUGGUGGAAUUUCCUGUGUAGCGGUGAAAUGCGUAGAUAUAGGAAGGAACACCAGUGGCGAAGGCGACCACCUGGGCUCAUACUGACACUGAGGUGCGAAAGCGUGGGGAGCAAAC